GUGAUCAGCGCGUUCCAUCAGAACGUGCGGAACCACAGGAUGCGGGAGGAAAUGGCGAUGUGCAAGAUCAGGGACAUCAGUGAGUUAUAUGCACUGGCCGACAAGUGUGCACGUGCUGAGGAAGGGAGGAGACUCCCCGGAGAGAAUGUAGGAGCAGGAGGAUCUGACAGUGAGGAUGCUACCCCGCCAAGGAAAAACUGGCAGUGGAACAACAGAAGGAGGAAAGGCAAAGAGGUGCUAGUUGUUGAGCAGUCCGACAACGGUGGUGGCGCCAAGGAAGCCAAAGCUGGUGACUCCGGCAAGGAGGUU
RNAcentral lists this ribosomal RNA (309 nucleotides) under Triticum aestivum (bread wheat). RNAcentral describes it as "partial small subunit ribosomal RNA". The record is from RNAcentral. Lineage: Eukaryota; Viridiplantae; Streptophyta; Magnoliopsida; Poales; Poaceae.